GCGCUUGCUUUGGCAGCACAUAUACUAAAAGUGGAACGAUACACAGACGAUUAACACAGCCCCUGCACAAGGAUGACAGCCAAAUUCAACAAAGCAUUCCAUAUUUUU
Molecule: small nuclear RNA, 108 nt
Filed under: Dasypus novemcinctus (nine-banded armadillo)
Lineage: Eukaryota; Metazoa; Chordata; Mammalia; Cingulata; Dasypodidae
Source: RNAcentral